UUUGUCUAUUGACUUUUUUUUUUUUUUUUCCAGUCUCACUCUGUCGCCCAGGCUGGAGUACAGUGGAGCAGUCUGAGUUCACUACAACCUCCACCUCCCAGGUUCAAGUGAUUCUCCUGCCUCAACCUCCCGAGUAGCUGGGACUACAGUCACGUACCACCAGUUGAAAAAGAUCAUCUAGCAAAGCCUUUUUUCCCAGCUACAUAUAAGGAAUUUGAAAGUCGCAUAAAAUGGUUAAGAAAAUGUGCCAAGAUUACCUCAGUAAUUCUGGUCUGUGUUCUCAGGAGACCCUGGAAAUAAACAAUGUGUCUUCUGUGGCUUCAGCGUCACCUAGUGCAGGCUGCCAUUCAACAAACGCAUUGUCAACAGUCAACCAAAAGAAACCCAUUGGCCACCAUACCCUGAGGACUAACCCUGACACAGAUGCCCUUCCAGAUGCCCUCAGUAGUCUAACUGAUUCCAUCGCCCCAGCCUUGGGGGAGAAGCACUGCUGCCUAUGCACUCCAUUUACAGGUGAACUGUCACCCCUACAACUCAGCUUGCAACCAGCCCUGGCCACCACCAGUUUCCCCACACUGAGCUGAAUAUUGGACAUGCCCAUCUUAGACAUUCCAGCCCAUUCUGAAAUUCCACAUCGAUUCACCCGACAAAGUCUGAAGUUCCAGGGCAAUUUAUCUGGAAAAGCUCACCUGGAAUCAUGUGUCAUUUCAACCAACAACUGUCGAAGAGGACGUGGCAUCAAAACCAAGGUUAUCAAUUAUUUAUAAGGGUUGUGUGGUGGUUGGUCCAAGCAUCUCUCCUUCAUGCCAUCACUCCUUUCAAGAGCUGCCUCUAUUUUCUAAUUUAGCACAGGAAUUUAGAUGCCCCUAAAUAAGUAGGCAUCCAGUAUCUGCCCACACCAGUUUUAGUGAGAGUACAUAUGGAGACACUGCCACCACCCCUGCUCUCCUACUGCAUACCCCACCAUGCCAAAGCAUGGUGGCUCACACCUGUAAUCCCAGUGCUUUGGGAGGCCAAAGAGGAGGAACACUUGAGGCCAGAAGUAUGAGACCAGCCUGGGCAACAUAGUGAGACCUCAUUUCUAUAAAUAAGUUAAAAAAACAAAAAAAUAGGGCACAGUGGUGCACAUGUGUGGUCCCAGUUACUCAGCAGGCUGAGGCUGGAAGAUCACUUGAGCCCAGGAGUUUGAGGCUGCAGUGAGCUAGGAUUAUGCCACUGCACUCUAGCCUGGGCAACAGAGAGAGACCCCAUCUCUAAAAAGAGGGAGAAGAAGGAAGGAGGAGGAAGAAGAGGAAGAGGAGGAGGAGAAAUACUGCUCUUUCUCAGGCCCAAGGUAAAAAGGUUUUUGGUCUCAUGUUGACCAGAAAGACAUUGAUAUUUAAUUAAGCAAUAUAAAAAGGCUCAUUGUUAGGAUUAAAGAGUAAGUAAAAUCAAUAUUGAGAUAGGAGGAUGGAGGACACCAACUGAGUUCCGAUCCCAAUGAAGAGGAGAAAAAGCUACAACUAUCUAGGUGAAAUAUCUACUUAUCCUAGAAGAAGCCUUUUGACAGCAACAUAAAAUUCAUACCUAUAGGUUUUUAAUUCCUAUGGAUGCCGUAGCAAAUAACAAAAACUUGGAUGGUGUAAAGUAACAGAUGUUUACUCUUUUCCAGUAUUGGAGACCAGGAAUCUGAGAUCAAGGUGUGGGCAGGGGUGCGCUCCCCCUGGAGGUUCUAGGAGAGGAUCCUUCCUGCCUCUUCCAGCUCCUGGUGGCUCCAGGUGUCCCUGGGCUUGUGGCCACAUCACUACAUUCUCUGCCUCCAUCUCCACGUGACCUUUUCCUCUGUGUCUGUGUCUCCUCUUCUGUCUCUUAGAAGGACACUGGUCAUUGGAUUUAAAGGCCACCUGGGUAAUUUAUAGUGAUCUAAUCUCAAGAAUCUUUCCUUAAUUACAUGCAAAUACUCUUUAUCCAAAUUAGUUUGCAUUCACAAAUUCUGGAGCUUAGUACUUGGACAUAUAUUUUGGGGGGUUGAUGGUUGGAGGGGCUUUUAUUCAACUCAGUACAUCUUAAUAAGGAAUUAAUGCCCCCCAACUUGCCUUACAAGUCAUAUAUUAAAAACAAUGUUGGCCUGGCACAGUGGCUCAUGCCUGUAAUCUCAACACUUUGGGAAGCCAAGGGAGGAGGAUCACUUGAGCCCAGGAGUUGGAGACCAGCCUGGAUAACAAAGGGAGACCCAGUUUCUACAAAAUAUUUAAAAAUUAGCCAGGCAUGAUGGUGCAUGCCUGUGGUCCUAGCUAUUCAGGAAACUGAGGUGGGAGGAUCACUUGAGCCUGGAAGUUCAAGACAGCAGUGAGCUAUGCUCACACCACUGCACUCCAUCCUGGGCAACAGAGCUGGACUCUGUCUCAAAAAACAUAACACUAAAACAUCAAAAUUAAAAAAAAAAAA
RNAcentral lists this long non-coding RNA (2427 nucleotides) under Homo sapiens (human). RNAcentral's name for it is "novel transcript". The record is from RNAcentral. Lineage: Eukaryota; Metazoa; Chordata; Mammalia; Primates; Hominidae.